GACGCGGUGCCCAGGCUAAACCACCUACGCUGGACUUGCUAUUAGUUGGGCCGCAAACCCAAUAACUUCCCUACAUGAGGGAGUGAGUAAGUGACUUGUGACUUUAAACUCCAUUUCCCAUUCGCAAUCGUGAGAGCUUCAAAAUCAGAAAGUGUUGCAGACUCGGAAAGCCAAGAAAUGGGGAUGUUCACAGGGAUGUUGAUGAGAGGACAGCCACUGACAACGAAGCUGGCAAAAUGGGCUACAUAUGGUGUUUUCCCUGCAGCCAUGGCCGCCGCCGUCAUCUAUUCCCCUCCCAGUUACACCUAUUCCAAGGACAGUCCUAAGUCCACCAAAUAAGGCAUUGCUCGGGGCAUACGGCAUGGAAGUGGAAGUUAGAAGCUUGGCUCUUUUUUUGGUUCAAAUAUGGUCUGAAUAAUCAACGUGACCUAAUAAUUGCUCAAUUUAAGUGGUUUUCCCUGCUUCUUUGAAAAACUUUCACCAGAACAUCUUUGAAUGUAUUUUAUUCAAGAUUUCCCCUGUUGGUCACUUUUUUCGAAUGUACUAUAUGGAAAAACAUUUGAUUAUUGUCAGAUGAUCUGCAUUGCAAGAGUUGGUUAGGGUUGA
Molecule: long non-coding RNA, 606 nt
Organism: Rosa rugosa (rugosa rose)
Lineage: Eukaryota; Viridiplantae; Streptophyta; Magnoliopsida; Rosales; Rosaceae
Exons: 3
Source: RefSeq, a predicted model, not a curated record